Molecule: long non-coding RNA, 1213 nt
Organism: Acipenser ruthenus (sterlet)
Lineage: Eukaryota; Metazoa; Chordata; Actinopteri; Acipenseriformes; Acipenseridae
Exons: 6
Source: RefSeq, a predicted model, not a curated record
CUGGGAUCAGCUUCCACCCGGAAGAGAUCGCGGACGCUACCGGGCAGGACGCCACAGAGGGAAGAGUUUGAUGAUAUUCUUCAGUCAAGACGGACCCUACUUCUCAAUUACCACGGACGCAUCGAACAAAGGUUAUUUUGUGAUUCUGUGACACCAACCCCAACCCCCCCCAGAUGAACAUCCAACAAUCACAACAGGUUCUUCCUGCGGUCUGUUCCUCCAGUGAUUUCUCUCAUCCACUGCCUAGUCUGGGUCCUCUAGCAACACAGCCUGCCCUGCUCUCUGCCUGCACUGUGCUGACAGCACAUCUUUUAAAGGGCAGUUAGUAAUGGAAUGAGAUUUCAGGAAAAAUGAGUUAGGACUCUUUUGCAACUUUACGGACGAAGAAAUCAAAGCUUUAAUAGCGACUGGAGUGAAGACAGGGUCCAGCAUGCCUUAAAAUUGACCAACGGAAAAAUAUUCACAUUUUUAGAGAGAUUGCAGGGAAAAUGGCAGAGCUGGGUUUUGACCGUAAUGAAGUACAGUAUAGAAGUAGGAUAAAGGAUUAAAAAAUAAAUACAUGCGCUGCAAGAAAACAACAGGCACAGCGGUUGCAGCAGACUUGAAUGCAAGUUUUUCGAAGAGUUUGAUGCGGUCCUUGGAACCAGACCAGCCACCCAGCCCCCAGUUUUACUGGAAUCAGCCACAGAUUCUGGACAGGACAACGUAGAUAAAGAGCAAAGUGAAAAAUCGCUUACAUCGCCUUCCACGUCAUCUUCCCUGGCAUUCGUUGAAGCAGUGCAGCCAGUGAUGCAGAGCACCACACCCCGGAGAGCUUGUAAACAAACCCGGGCAGAAGCUGCAGCUGGUCAGCUGACUAACAAUCUCAUACAUUAACUGAAGGAAUCAGAUCAGCAGUUCCUGAAGGCUGAGAGAAAAAGAAGGGAGCACCAGACUAGGAUGGAGGCAAGCCGGAUGGAGCAUGAAAUGUCCAUCAUGCAAGUGUUAACAUCUUGUAUGAGAGACCAAUCACAGUCUCAGUGGCGCCCACCCCUGUCUUCAACACCUCAGACACAUUUCAUGUACAACAAUGGCAAUGACAAUUAUUUCAUCAUGAGUCAUCAAGUCAAAACCUGGAGGGUUCACAUUGGCAGCCCAAAUUGAUUAGUAAACUCAUAGGAAACAAAUAUUGGUUCAAUUUGUUAAAGUUCACUUUAUUUGUUGUUUUUUAUGU